RNAcentral lists this RNase P RNA (448 nucleotides) under bovine gut metagenome. RNAcentral's name for it is "Bacterial RNase P class A". It matches the Rfam family "Bacterial RNase P class A". From Rfam's summary of the family: Ribonuclease P (RNase P) is a ubiquitous endoribonuclease, found in archaea, bacteria and eukarya as well as chloroplasts and mitochondria. Its best characterised activity is the generation of mature 5'-ends of tRNAs by cleaving the 5'-leader elements of precursor-tRNAs. The record is from RNAcentral.
AUCGCGCUCCCAAAAGGGCGAGGAAAGUCCGUGCAUUCAAGGACAGAUUGCCGGAGAAACUCCGGACGGCGUGAGCCGGUGGAAAGGGCUACAGAAAUGCAAGCGUUAGUUGGUGUUCACGGUGUCAGUUUGCGAGAGCAAGAGGUAAACACUACGAAAUCGCCGUUAUGACCGGAACGAAAGUGAAGGGAACAUACAAAUCUUUGAUUUGUCAGGCAAUAACGCAAGACUGCCGAUGGGCGAAAAGCUACAGGCGAUGGUGCAACGGUGAGGUAAGAGCAUCACCAGCGAUAUCGAGAGGUAUCGGCUAAGUAACCCCCAAUCGAAUGCAAGAUUAAGUUGAAGGUUAAAGGUUGUCCGCCCACUUCAGAAAAAAUCGCUAGAGAUUGAAAGUAAUUUCAAUACCAGACAGAUGAUUGUUUAGAAACAGAACACGGCUUAUGAGUUA